AAAGCCUUCGGGUUGUAAAGCUCUUUCGACGGGGACGAUGAUGACGGUACCCGUAUAAGAAGCCCCGGCUAACUUCGUGCCAGCAGCCGCGGUAAUACGAAGGGGGCUAGCGUUGUUCGGAAUUACUGGGCGUAAAGCGCGCGUAGGCGGCGAUCUUUGUCAGAGGUGAAAGCCCGGGGCUCAACUCCGGAAUUGCCUUUGAAACGGGAUCGCUAGAGUCCGAGAGAGGAUGGCGGAAUUCCUAGUGUAGAGGUGAAAUUCGUAGAUAUUAGGAAGAACACCGGUGGCGAAGGCGGCCAUCUGGCUCGGUACUGACGCUCAGGCGCGAAAGCGUGGGGAGCAAACAGGAUUAGAUACCCUGGUAGUCCACGCCGUAAACGAUGGGUGCUAGUUGUUAGGAAGUUUACUUCUUAGUGACGUAGCUAACGCGUUAAGCACCCC
RNAcentral lists this ribosomal RNA (441 nucleotides) under alpha proteobacterium zo44. Its description in RNAcentral is "bacterial SSU rRNA". It matches the Rfam family "Bacterial small subunit ribosomal RNA", at positions 411 to 870 of the family's 1533-position model. The record is from RNAcentral. Lineage: Bacteria; Pseudomonadati; Pseudomonadota; Alphaproteobacteria.